This 497-nucleotide ribosomal RNA is filed under the name uncultured bacterium. RNAcentral describes it as "partial 16S ribosomal RNA". It matches the Rfam family "Bacterial small subunit ribosomal RNA", at positions 28 to 507 of the family's 1533-position model. The record is from RNAcentral.
GAUGAACGCUGGCGGCGUGCCUAAUACAUGCAAGUCGAGCGAACAGACGAGGAGCUUGCUCCUCUGACGUUAGCGGCGGACGGGUGAGUAACACGUGGAUAACCUACCUAUAAGACUGGGAUAACUUCGGGAAACCGGAGCUAAUACCGGAUAACAUGUUGAACCGCAUGGUUCAACAGUGAAAGACGGUCUUGCUGUCACUUAUAGAUGGAUCCGCGCCGCAUUAGCUAGUUGGUAAGGUAACGGCUUACCAAGGCAACGAUGCGUAGCCGACCUGAGAGGGUGAUCGGCCACACUGGAACUGAGACACGGUCCAGACUCCUACGGGAGGCAGCAGUAGGGAAUCUUCCGCAAUGGGCGAAAGCCUGACGGAGCAACGCCGCGUGAGUGAAGAAGGUCUUCGGAUCGUAAAACUCUGUUAUUAGGGAAGAACAAACGUGUAAGUAACUAUGCACGUCUUGACGGUACCUAAUCAGAAAGCCACGGCUAACUACGUG